UUUUAGACUAAUCAGGUAGUAAGACAAUCAAAAACCAAAAUAAAAUGGCGGUCUUAAAAAAUUAGAGAAACUCGCUUUAUAAUCGACAACACCCGAUUAAUUACACUCGCUUAACAAUUAGUCUAUAUACCGCCGUUCCAGAGCAUUUCACAAAAUACAACUCAUUAUUUUUAACUAACCUAAAAUCAGGUCAAGGUGUAACAAAUAAGUUAGAAAAAGUAAGUUACAUUAAAAUCAAUUUAAGGAAUUUAUUGUAAACAAAUAAAAGAAAAAGAAUUUAUAAGUACAGAUAGAUUAAAAUUCAAUCAAGACAAAUAACAUUAAGACGC
This 329-nucleotide ribosomal RNA is filed under the name Pholcinae gen. n. sp. Ind206. RNAcentral's name for it is "partial 12S ribosomal RNA". The record is from RNAcentral. Lineage: Eukaryota; Metazoa; Arthropoda; Arachnida; Araneae; Pholcidae.